UACGUAGGUGACAAGCGUUGUCCGGAUUUACUGGGCGUAAAGAGCGCGCAGGCGGUCGUUCAAGUCGAGUGUGAAAGCCCCCGGCUCAACUGGGGAGGGUCAUUCGAUACUGAUCGACUCGAAGGCAGGAGAGGGUAGUGGAAUUCCCGGUGUAGUGGUGAAAUGCGUAGAUAUCGGGAGGAACACCAGUGGCGAAGGCGACUUCCUGGCCUGUUCUUGACGCUGAGGCGCGAAAGCUAGGGGAGCAAACGGG
RNAcentral lists this ribosomal RNA (253 nucleotides) under uncultured bacterium. Its description in RNAcentral is "partial 16S ribosomal RNA". It matches the Rfam family "Bacterial small subunit ribosomal RNA", at positions 524 to 776 of the family's 1533-position model. The record is from RNAcentral.